Non-coding RNA from Perkinsus olseni, 80 nucleotides. Lineage: Eukaryota; Perkinsozoa; Perkinsida; Perkinsidae. The record is from the annotation of a GenBank genome assembly.
GACAGUUUGGCCGAGUGGUCUAAGGCGCUAGCUUCAGGCGUUAGUCCGCAAGGGCGCGGGUUCGAAUCCCGCAGCUGUCA